Long non-coding RNA from Scophthalmus maximus (turbot), 1961 nucleotides. Lineage: Eukaryota; Metazoa; Chordata; Actinopteri; Pleuronectiformes; Scophthalmidae. The record is from Ensembl.
AUGGACAUCGCCCCCUGCUGCUCAUCAUCAUCAUCAUCAUCAUCAUCACCAUCAUCAUCAUCAUCAUCAUCAUCAUCUCAUGCUGCGCCCAGUUUCCGGCCUCUGUCUCAUCUACGUCCACGCUCCUGCCGUCUCGCCUCCAUCGAGACGAGUGCCUCAGCUCCGCAUCAGCCAACGACCUCCGUCCCCGUCACAAACGUCCGUUCCCCCGAGGGGCCGUCUCAAUUUCAAACGAUGUCCCCGUAUCGCUUUCUAAUCAUGCCUCUGGAGAGAGAAGGCGCAGGCCGAAGCGCAGGGAUCGUGUUCACCUUCUGUUCUGAAAAGCAGCCGACAGAGCACCGACCUCAGCCCACGCUCCACACACUGCAACUUGGACAACAGAAGCCUGCAUGAAUGUUGACGUCCGUUCGUCCGUUCGUCCAUUUGUUCGUUCAUUCGUUCGAUCGUUCAUUUGUUCGAUCGUUCAUUCGUCGAUCGUUCGAUAGUUCGAUCGUUCGAUCGUUCGAUCCUUGUGCUUCUUGCAGCUGACGAACAAACUCCAGUUGUCAGACAACAAAACAUGGAGGAAUGGCAGAAAAGGCACCGAUCAUCCAAUGGUGGAAUUUUGGAUCACAAAAAAACCCCACAACUAAUAAACAGAUCAGAUGUAAAACUUUCUGGAUUAUCCAAAUGAGUACUUCCAUUGGCCCCCACCCUUUAUUGACCUCUACUGACCUCGCAGGAAUCAAAAAAAGGUAUUUCCAGUUGUUGGUGGGAGGUUCAAACCCUCAAGCGUUUCACGUGAAAAGCGUCACACAAAUUGUCUCUAAGAUACGACGGAGUAUUGGGGCCACAUCGAGGGACCGAAGAAAUUGGAGACUUUGAGAACAAAGUGGGAAAGUUAUGAGAAUAAAUUCAUAACAAUACGAAAAUAAAGUCGUACUAUUACAAGAAAAACAAAAGGCAUAAUAUUGCACGAAAAAAGUCGUAGAUCUACUAGAAUAAAGUCGUACUUUUAUGAGAAUAAAGUCGAACUACUUUGAGAAUAAAGUCGUAAUAUUACGAGAUGCAGUGUCAGUGUCGGUGAUGCUCAGCUCCUCUCCUCCGUCUGAACACGUCACACGACCCGCCGCUGGACAGAGACGGAGCGGAGACAUCUCAACUACAGUAACAACAAUUACAUGAACGUCUCUUAGAGGACAAAUGUUGCUUAUUAGUGUGAGGUUGUCUGCGUGUGUGCGUGUGUGUGUGUGUGUGCGCGAGAGGAACGAGAUGUGAGAGAGUCGUUCGUUUUUUAAUCUGUAAUAAUUCACAGCAGCAAACUUCAAGCUCGGGGGGCCAUUAGCCCGUCUGUAAAAGAUCAUUAUAACCAUCCACUUGCAUUAUGUGCAACUCGGGCACACAAGCCCGGCCCACGCACACGCCGAGGCUGCGGAGAUUGACACAAACACACGCACACACACACGCGCAGCAAAAAAUGAGCAUAACAUAGGGCUGUGUGUGUUUGUGUGUCGGUCCGUUUCCUUCAUCAUCAUGGAGACACAGAUGUCCGACAUGGUCAUAUUCACGGCGGUAAAAGCUGCUGAAGACAUUAUGUCCUAUGGACUGUGUGUGUGUGUGUGUGUGUGUGUGUGUGUGAGCAUCUGCUCUGUUUAUGUAGAUUAAUGUCUCCCUCGGUUUGUUUUCUAACCAUCUCUGUGCAUCUACAUCUGAUUUUUGUCUUUUUCUGAAUAUAUAAUACACACACACACACACACACACACACACACAAAGUCCUUUCCCCAAAAGACCCACGUCACCAUGAGAAAGGGAUGAAACAAUGACAGAGGAACAGAAAAACAAAGUGUGUUUUGUGUCCUGAGGGUUUAUUAUGUUGCAGCCACAUUAAUAAAAAACAUCAGAAUCCCGAGUUGACUGACAGAUUCUCUGAUGGAUUCAAAUUCACCCUCUGGUCUGUUUGUUUGUUUGUUUGUUUGUUUCCG